Molecule: unclassified non-coding RNA, 378 nt
Filed under: plant metagenome
Description: partial contains 5.8S ribosomal RNA, internal transcribed spacer 2, and large subunit ribosomal RNA
Rfam family: 5.8S ribosomal RNA (bases 1-105)
Source: RNAcentral
GAAAUGCGAUAAGUAAUGUGAAUUGCAGAAUUCAGUGAAUCAUCGAAUCUUUGAACGCACCUUGCGCUCCUUGGUAUUCCUUGGAGCAUGCCUGUUUGAGUAUCAUGAAAUCUUCAAAGUAAAUCUUUUGUUAACUCAAUUGGUUUCUACUUUGGUAUUGGAGGUCUUUGCAGCUUCACACCUGCUCCUCUUUGUUCAUUAGCUGGAUCUCAGUGUUAUGCUUGGUUCCACUCGGCCUGAUAAGUUAUCUAUCGCUGAGGACACUGUAAAAGGUGGCCAAGGUAAAUGCAGAUGAACCGCUUCUAAUAGUCCAUUGACUUGGACAAUACUUUUAUGAUCUGAUCUCAAAUCAGGUAGGACUACCCGCUGAACUUAAGC